RNAcentral lists this ribosomal RNA (807 nucleotides) under uncultured bacterium. Its description in RNAcentral is "bacterial SSU rRNA". It matches the Rfam family "Bacterial small subunit ribosomal RNA", at positions 626 to 1434 of the family's 1533-position model. The record is from RNAcentral.
UUNUGAACUGGGUAGCUAGAGUAUNUCAGAGGGGGGUAGAAUUCCACGUGUAGCAGUGAAAUGCGUAGAGAUGUGGAGGAAUACCGAUGGCGAAGGCAGCCCCCUGGGAUAAUACUGACGUUCAUGCUCGAAAGCGUGGGUAGCAAACAGGAUUAGAUACCCUGGUAGUCCACGCCCUAAACGAUGUCGAUUAGCUGUUGGGCAGCUUGACUGCUUAGUAGCGUAGCUAACGCGUGAAAUCGACCGCCUGGGGAGUACGGUCGCAAGAUUAAAACUCAUAGGAAUUGACGGGGACCCGCACAAGCGGUGGAUGAUGUGGAUUAAUUCGAUGCAACGCGAAGAACCUUACCUGGUCUUGACAUGUACGGAAGAACUCAGAGACGAGUUUGUGCCUUCGGGAGCCGUAACACAGGUGCUGCAUGGCUGUCGUCAGCUCGUGUCGUGAGAUGUUGGGUUAAGUCCCGCAACGAGCGCAACCCUUGUCAUUAGUUGCCAUCAUUUAGUUGGGCACUCUAAUGAGACUGCCGGUGACAAACCGGAGGAAGGUGGGGAUGACGUCAAGUCCUCAUGGCCCUUAUGACCAGGGCUUCACACGUCAUACAAUGGUCGGUACAGAGGGUAGCCAAGCCGCGAGGUGGAGCCAAUCCCAGAAAACCGAUCGUAGUCCGGAUUGCACUCUGCAACUCGAGUGCAUGAAGUCGGAAUCGCUAGUAAUCGCAGGUCAGCAUACUGCGGUGAAUACGUUCCCGGGUCUUGUACACACCGCCCGUCACACCAUGGGAGUGGGGGAUACCAGAAGUAGGUAGG